UACAGAGGAGCCAAGCGUUGUCCGGAUUGACUGGGCGUAAAGCGCACGCAGGCGGAUGCGCGCGUGGGGUGUGAAAAUCUGGCCGCUUAACGGCCAGGCGCCAUCCCAUACGGCGCGUCUGGAGUGAUGCAGAGGUCGAUGGAAUUGCCGGUGUAGUGGUGAAAUGCGUAGAGAUCGGCAGGAACACCCAGGGGGAAACCAGUCGACUGGGCAUCUACGUGACGCUGAGUGCGAGAGCGUGGGGAGC
This 247-nucleotide ribosomal RNA is filed under the name uncultured bacterium. RNAcentral describes it as "partial 16S ribosomal RNA". It matches the Rfam family "Bacterial small subunit ribosomal RNA", at positions 524 to 769 of the family's 1533-position model. The record is from RNAcentral.